RNAcentral lists this transfer RNA (73 nucleotides) under Cordylochernes scorpioides. RNAcentral describes it as "tRNA-Thr". The record is from RNAcentral. Lineage: Eukaryota; Metazoa; Arthropoda; Arachnida; Pseudoscorpiones; Chernetidae.
AUCCAGGGAUGGGAAUCGAACCCACAGUUUUCCGCUUACUGGGCAGAUGCCAUGUCCACUAGACUACCCUGGA